GUCUUAGUAGCAUAGUGGUUAAUGCGCAGCCCUGGUUAGGCGCGAGACGCGGGUUCCAAUCCCGCCAGAGAUG
Molecule: transfer RNA, 73 nt
Filed under: Nippostrongylus brasiliensis
Lineage: Eukaryota; Metazoa; Nematoda; Chromadorea; Rhabditida; Heligmosomidae
Rfam family: tRNA
About the family: Transfer RNA (tRNA) molecules are approximately 80 nucleotides in length. Their secondary structure includes four short double-helical elements and three loops (D, anti-codon, and T loops). Further hydrogen bonds mediate the characteristic L-shaped molecular structure. tRNAs have two regions of fundamental functional importance: the anti-codon, which is responsible for specific mRNA codon recognition, and the 3' end, to which the tRNAs corresponding amino acid is attached (by aminoacyl-tRNA synthetases). tRNAs cope with the degeneracy of the genetic code in two manners: having more than one tRNA (with a specific anti-codon) for a particular amino acid; and 'wobble' base-pairing, i.e. permitting non-standard base-pairing at the 3rd anti-codon position.
Source: Rfam by way of RNAcentral